RNAcentral lists this ribosomal RNA (253 nucleotides) under uncultured bacterium. RNAcentral's name for it is "partial 16S ribosomal RNA". It matches the Rfam family "Bacterial small subunit ribosomal RNA", at positions 524 to 776 of the family's 1533-position model. The record is from RNAcentral.
GACGAACCGAGCGAACGUUGUUCGGAAUCACUGGGCUUAAAGAGCGCGCAGGCGGUCGUACAAGGCGCGUGUGAAAGCCCCCGGCUCAACUGGGGAGGGUCACGCGAUACUGUUCGACUCGAAGGCAGGAGAGGGAAGCAGAAUUCCCGGUGUAGUGGUGAAAUGCGUAGAUAUCGGGAGGAAUACCAGUGGCGAAGGCGGCUUCCUGGCCUGUUCUUGACGCUGAGGCGCGAAAGCUAGGGUAGCAAACGGG